Long non-coding RNA from Sapajus apella (tufted capuchin), 871 nucleotides. RefSeq lists it as uncharacterized. Lineage: Eukaryota; Metazoa; Chordata; Mammalia; Primates; Cebidae. The record is from RefSeq and is a predicted model, not a curated record. The transcript has 3 exons.
CCCCAUAACAGCACUUUCUCCCUUUGCUCCUUUAGGUCUAAAGGUGACAUUACAUUCCUGAUGGAACCUUCCUGGAUCAGGGAACUGAGGCUCAGAGAAGUAACUUCCCCAGGAUCAAACAGCUGUCAUGGAAGCAUGUGUUGAAAUGGAGUUGCCAAAAGAUUAAAGAUAGGUGGAUUGCUGACCCACUGCAUGGAGGCAGUUGCCAUAUGGAGUCACUUGGACCUGCGCUGACUUGGUAUAAAGGCAAAAUAAGCUUUUAUUGUGUUUAGAAACUGAAAAUUUGGUGCUGUUCAUUACCGCAGCAUAACCUAACCUAUCCUGACUGAAACAGUGAAGGAGCUGAGAUCAAAACCAAGGUUUUCUAAAUCAAAAGUCAGUGUCUUUAACCACUAGAAAAUACUGCUUCUCCCUGUCUCUUAAUCCAUGGAAAUUUCUUGGAAGCUGUGGCCUUAGAAGGAUGAGUGAAAGGGGACAAAGAAAAGAAAGUCAUACUCAUGAGGACUAUUACUGAAGGGAGAAAAAGGUUAGAAAAGGGAUUAGCAAACAAUCAUGCUUGUCUUUCCUUUGCUCCCCAUAUCAGUUUAAAAAAUUGAAAUAAAAAGAGAAGAAUCUUUAGAAAAAUGUUUACACAUAGGGCAUCCGGGAUUUUUGCUCUUGGCCAGGGGGUUAAUUGUGGCUGCUUCUCACUGAAAAUAACUUGCAGCCCAUCUCUAGGGAAGUGGAAGUGGAAAUUCUGUCUGCUUUAGAAGAGAAGCUUCAAGCAACAGCCCUUUUGCCGGAAAGCAGGACAGAGCCUCCAUUCGGGUCAUUUUCUCCCUGUGUGGUUUAUCUCUUUUUUUUGGUUCAAUAAAGGCAAUUUUUGCUGGUU